Molecule: long non-coding RNA, 579 nt
Filed under: Homo sapiens (human)
Lineage: Eukaryota; Metazoa; Chordata; Mammalia; Primates; Hominidae
Description: non-protein coding lnc-TNFAIP6-2:14
Source: RNAcentral
CAGGACCUGCUGAACCUGGGGCCCUAUAGGAGAGCACUGAUGGCCCACCCCUGAUUGUGGCCCUGGUCUUCAUGUCUGCAUCAGCCUCAGCCAUCUCAAGACCACAACAGGAACAUAGCCAAGUCAGAGAAGGAAGACCAAAAGCACCAGGGCCCUUCAUAUUAUUAAGCUGCUAAAUUAACUAAUCUUGGAAACUUCUAGACUCUACAAUUCUUGUUGUAUGAGAGUGGAUUGACAAUUAUUCUCUGGACUUUUUGGUAACCAAGAACUUCUAGCAACUAACCCUGGCAUGACCACCAGAAUCUGCAGGGCUGAGAGAAGAAAGAAAGGCAAAAGUGGAUGAAUGCAGCUGAAGAUGCUGUGGAACUCCUAUCACAUUCCAAGUGCUGUGUUGAUAUCUGGAGAUAUAGACAAGAUCGAAGCAGAUGCAGUCUUUCACAUGAAUAUUUGAAUCAGGCAGAUGCAGGUGAUGGGUAUUGGCCUCAGCUUUAGAGACCAGAGGUUAAAUCUCAGUGCUGCCUGCCACAAAACGAUCCAUGUAAGUCAAUAAACAAUGCUUUUUAAAAUAUUAUUAUAAAG